This 462-nucleotide ribosomal RNA is filed under the name uncultured bacterium. RNAcentral describes it as "bacterial SSU rRNA". It matches the Rfam family "Bacterial small subunit ribosomal RNA", at positions 33 to 507 of the family's 1533-position model. The record is from RNAcentral.
ACGCUGGCGGCGUGCUUAACACAUGCAAGUCGAACGGUGAAAGCGGAAGCUUGCUCCGCUGGAUCAGUGGCGAACGGGUGAGUAACACGUGGGCAACCUGCCCUUCACUUCGGGAUAACUCCGGGAAACCGGGGCUAAUACCGGAUACGACCUCUGCGGGCAUCCGCGGAGGUGGAAAGUUUUUCGGUGAAGGAUGGGCCCGCGGCCUAUCAGCUUGUUGGUGAGGUAACGGCUCACCAAGGCGACGACGGGUAGCCGGCCUGAGAGGGCGACCGGCCACACUGGGACUGAGACACGGCCCAGACUCCUACGGGAGGCAGCAGUGGGAAUAUUGCGCAAUGGGCGAAAGCCUGACGCAGCGACGCAGCGUGAGGGAUGAAGGCCUUCGGGUUGUAAACCUCUUUCAGCGGGGACGAAGCGAAAGUGACGGUACCCGCAGAAGAAGCACCGGCUAACUACGUG